RNAcentral lists this ribosomal RNA (505 nucleotides) under uncultured bacterium. RNAcentral's name for it is "partial 16S ribosomal RNA". It matches the Rfam family "Bacterial small subunit ribosomal RNA", at positions 28 to 507 of the family's 1533-position model. The record is from RNAcentral.
GACGAACGCUGGCGGCGUGCCUAAUACAUGCAAGUAGAACGCACAGUUUAUACCGUAGCUUGCUACACCAUAAACUGUGAGUUGCGAACGGGUGAGUAACGCGUAGGUAACCUGCCUGGUAGCGGGGGAUAACUAUUGGAAACGAUAGCUAAUACCGCAUAAUAUUGAUUAUUGCAUGAUAAUUGAUUGAAAUAUGCUAUUGCAUCACUACCAGAUGGACCUGCGUUGUAUUAGCUAGUAGGUGAGGUAACGGCUCACCUAGGCGACGAUACAUAGCCGACCUGAGAGGGUGGUCGGCCACACUGGGACUGAGACACGGCCCAGACUCCUACGGGAGGCAGCAGUAGGGAAUCUUCGGCAAUGGACGAAAGUCUGACCGAGCAACGCCGCGUGAGUGAAGAAGGUUUUCGGAUCGUAAAGCUCUGUUGUAAGAGAAGAACGGGUGUGAGAGUGGAAAGUUCACACUGUGACGGUAUCUUACCAGAAAGGGACGGCUAACUACGUG